Molecule: long non-coding RNA, 564 nt
Filed under: Olea europaea subsp. europaea
Lineage: Eukaryota; Viridiplantae; Streptophyta; Magnoliopsida; Lamiales; Oleaceae
Source: RNAcentral
UCAGGCUUUAAAAGAUUGAUCAUUUUACUUGAUGAUUUUUAGGACUAGUUUUUGCUCGAAAGUACGAAGUAUUUGCAAGGAUGUUUGCAUGGAGCAAGGCUUUGAGUGCAUACUUGGGGCCAAGGCUUUGAGGUGUUUGCGCAGAACAAGACUUAGAUGUGCUUGCUCAUGGGCACAGCUUUGAGUGCUUGCUCAAAGGGAAAGGCUUUGAAGUACUUGUUCAUGGACAAGGCUUUGAAUGCUUGCUCGUGGACAAGGCUUUAAGGUGUUUGUGCGGAGUAAGAUUUAAAGGUGCUUGCUCGUGGGCAAGAUUUAAAGGUGCUUGUGUGGUACAAGGCUCAAGUGGUUGCUCGAAGCAAGACUUAAAAGUGCUUGAACAGAGCAAGGUUCAUGGUGCUUGCGUUGGGCAAGUUUGAGGUGCUUGCUCGAGGAAAGGUUUGUGGGGCUUGUAUAGGACAAGGUUUAGAGAUGCUUGUGUGAGACAAAACUUAAGUACUUAAUCGAGACAAGGUUUAGAAGUGCUUACGUGGGGCAUUGUUGUGCUCGGGGCAAGGCUUAUGGUGC